RNAcentral lists this ribosomal RNA (253 nucleotides) under uncultured bacterium. Its description in RNAcentral is "partial 16S ribosomal RNA". It matches the Rfam family "Bacterial small subunit ribosomal RNA", at positions 524 to 776 of the family's 1533-position model. The record is from RNAcentral.
UACGGAGGGUGCAAGCGUUGUUCGGAUUUACUGGGCGUAAAGCGCGCGCAGGUGGGUGUACAAGUCGGAAAUGAAAUCUUGAGGCUCAACCUCGAGGCUGCUCCCGAAACUGUACGCCUAGGGACUGGUAGAGGCUGGUAGAAUUCCCGGUGUAGCGGUGGAAUGCGUAGAGAUCGGGAAGAAUACCUGUGGCGAAGGCGGCCAGCUGGGCCAGAUCCGACACUGAGGCGCGAAAGCGUGGGGAGCAAACAGG